AGUGAACGCUGGCGGUAGGCCUAACACAUGCAAGUCGAACGGCAGCACAGUAAGAGCUUGCUCUUACGGGUGGCGAGUGGCGGACGGGUGAGGAAUACAUCGGCAUCUACUUUUUCGUGGGGGAUAACGUAGGGAAACUUACGCUAAUACCGCAUACGACCUACGGGUGAAAGCAGGGGAUCUUCGGACCUUGCGCGAUUGAAUGAGCCGAUGUCGGAUUAGCUAGUUGGCGGGGUAAAGGCCCACCAAGGCGACGAUCCGUAGCUGGUCUGAGAGGAUGAUCAGCCACACUGGAACUGAGACACGGUCCAGACUCCUACGGGAGGCAGCAGUGGGGAAUAUUGGACAAAGGGCGCAAGCCUGAUCCAGCCAUACCGCGUGGGUGAAGAAGGCCUUCGGGUUGUAAAGCCCUUUUGUUGGGAAAGAAAAGCAGCAGGUUAAUACCCCGCUGUUCUGACGGUACCCAAAGAAUAGGCACCGGCUAACUUCGUG
RNAcentral lists this ribosomal RNA (492 nucleotides) under uncultured bacterium. RNAcentral's name for it is "partial 16S ribosomal RNA". It matches the Rfam family "Bacterial small subunit ribosomal RNA", at positions 29 to 507 of the family's 1533-position model. The record is from RNAcentral.